GCGAGAGUGGCGGAACAGGUAUACGCGCACGCCUUAGGAGCGUGUGCCUUCGGGCAUGGGGGUUCGAUUCCCCCCUCUCGCACCA
RNAcentral lists this transfer RNA (85 nucleotides) under Bacillota bacterium. Its description in RNAcentral is "tRNA-Leu". It matches the Rfam family "tRNA". From Rfam's summary of the family: Transfer RNA (tRNA) molecules are approximately 80 nucleotides in length. Their secondary structure includes four short double-helical elements and three loops (D, anti-codon, and T loops). The record is from RNAcentral. Lineage: Bacteria; Bacillati; Bacillota.